GAAAAAGUAUUAUCAGUGAAACUGGAAAAGUUAUCGAAACAGUCGCCUACAAUAAAAGAUGUCGAUGAAAAUGCUAAUGAACAGUAUUACAAGAAUUUAUCACUGUCAAAAGACAAAUUGCAGAAGCGAAAAAAUAAAUGCGCGCGGCAUAAGUAUGAGAGACCUAAAACACCAGAUGGAUUUUGGGAUCCACUAAUUCCUGAGACACAGUCGUCG
RNAcentral lists this long non-coding RNA (216 nucleotides) under Camponotus floridanus (Florida carpenter ant). Its description in RNAcentral is "uncharacterized LOC112638616". Lineage: Eukaryota; Metazoa; Arthropoda; Insecta; Hymenoptera; Formicidae. The record is from RNAcentral.